AGGAUAGAUACCCUGGUAGUCCACGCCGUAAACGAUGGAUGCUAGUUGUCAGGCAGCAUGCUGUUUGGUGACGCAGCUAACGCAUUAAGCAUCCCGCCUGGGGAGUACGGCCGCAAGGUUAAAACUCAAAGAAAUUGACGGGGGCCCGCACAAGCGGUGGAGCAUGUGGUUUAAUUCGAAGCAACGCGCAGAACCUUACCUACCCUUGACAUACCAAUCGCGGAUUACAGAGAUGUUUUCCUU
Molecule: ribosomal RNA, 243 nt
Filed under: uncultured bacterium
Lineage: Bacteria
Description: partial 16S ribosomal RNA
Rfam family: Bacterial small subunit ribosomal RNA
Source: RNAcentral